This 1295-nucleotide long non-coding RNA is filed under the name Numida meleagris (helmeted guineafowl). RNAcentral describes it as "lncRNA (ENSNMEG00000000717.1)". The record is from RNAcentral. Lineage: Eukaryota; Metazoa; Chordata; Aves; Galliformes; Numididae.
GGCCACCAUCAUGUCCACUUGGCCAUGUCCCCAUGGCCACCACCGCGAUGUCCCCGUGGCCACCAUCAUGUCCCCGUGGCCAUGUCCCCAUGGCCACCACCGCGAUGUCCCCGUGGCCGCCGUGUCCCCACUCACCUUGGCGCCCUUCUCUCCCUGCCGUCCCUCGGGGCCAGGGGAUCCCGCUGGUCCCUGUGGGGGGAGGGGGGGGGACACAUGAAGGACGGGGACGUGGCACCGCCACGGUGUCACCCAAUGGAGGUUGGGGUCACCCAAUGUGGGGGUCACCCAAUGGAGGUCAGUGUCACCCAAUGGUGUCACCCAAUUUUGGGGUCACCCAGUGGUGGCACAGAGAUUGGGGUCACCCAACGUUGGGGUCACCCAAAGGAGGCACAGGGAUCGGUGUCACCCAAUGUUGGGGUCACCCAGUGGUGGCACAGGGACCAGUGUCACCCAGUGGAGGUCGGUGUCACCCAACGUUGGUGUCACUCAAUGGAGAUCGGUGUCACCCAACAUUGGGGUCACCCAAAGGAGGCACAGGGAUCGGUGUCACCCAACGUUGGGGUCACCCAAUGGAGCUCGGUGUCACCCAACAUUGGGGUCACCCAGCGGUGACACAGGGAUCGGUGUCACCCAGUGGAGGUCAUUGUCACCCAACAUUGGGGUCACCCCAUGGUGGCACAGGGAUCGGUGUCACCCAGUGGAGGUCAGUGUCACCCAAUGCUGGCACAGGGAUCGGUGUCACCCAACAUUGGGGUCAAUCAAUGGAGCUCGGUGUCACCCAACAUUGGGGUCACCCAAUGGUGGCACAGGGAUCGGUGUCACCCAAUGGAGGUCAUUGUCACCCAACACUGGGGUCACCCCAUGGUGGCACAGGGAUCGGUGUCACCCAAUGGAGAUCAGUGUCACCCAACGUUGGGGUCACCCAGUGGUGGCACAGGGAUCGGGGUCACCCAACGCUGGGGUCACCCAAUGGAGGCACAGGGAUCGGUGUCACCCAACAUUGGGGUCACCCAGUGGUGGCACAGGGACCAGUGUUACUCAACGCUGGGGUCACUCAAAGGUGUCACCCAAUGUUGGGGUCACCCAGCGGUGGCACAGGGAUCGGUGUCACCCAACACUGGGGUCACCCAAUGGAGGUCGGUGUCACCCAACACUGGGGUCACCCAAUGGUGGCACAGGGAUCGGUGUCACCCAGUGGAGGUCGGUGUCACCCAAUGGUGGCACAGGGAUCGGUGUCACCCAGUGGAGGUCGGUGUCACCCAAUGGUGGCACAGGGAUCGGUGUCACCCAACGCU